UAACCUCGCGAACGGCAUUCAAAUUAAG
This 28-nucleotide small RNA is filed under the name Bombyx mori (domestic silkworm). RNAcentral's name for it is "ovarian small RNA-18771". The record is from RNAcentral. Lineage: Eukaryota; Metazoa; Arthropoda; Insecta; Lepidoptera; Bombycidae.